This 238-nucleotide ribosomal RNA is filed under the name uncultured microorganism. RNAcentral's name for it is "partial 16S ribosomal RNA". It matches the Rfam family "Bacterial small subunit ribosomal RNA", at positions 9 to 244 of the family's 1533-position model. The record is from RNAcentral.
GAGUUUGAUCCUGGCUCAGAUUGAACGCUGGCGGCAUGCCUAACACAUGCAAGUCGAACGGCAGCACUGGGAGCUUGCUCCCUGGUGGCGAGUGGCGGACGGGUGAGUAACGCGUAGGAAUCUGCCUCAUAGCGGGGGACAACUCGGGGAAACUCGAGCUAAUACCGCAUACUACUCGAGAGAGGAAAGCAGGGGACCUUCGGGCCUUGCACUAUGAGAUGAGCCUGCGUUGGAUUAG